Molecule: long non-coding RNA, 301 nt
Filed under: Malus domestica (apple)
Lineage: Eukaryota; Viridiplantae; Streptophyta; Magnoliopsida; Rosales; Rosaceae
Description: long non-coding RNA (MDOM_LNC009477)
Source: RNAcentral
ACACUCUCGAGUUCGCCGGAAAUGGGUGUGUCUACACCUGCCUUGAUUUCGUCCUAAAACCUUCCAAAAUCACGAAAUAAACUCAAUUAAACCACAUCUCACAAGAUUCUAGGAUGAAAAAGGGAAGAUUUGAGGCUUACCUAACCGGAGAUUUGAAAAACUCGUCGGAGUUCCUUUCCGGUUUUCUGGGUUAGCAGCACGGGAAAGAGGGAGAGAGAAGGAUAAAGAGAUGAUGAUGGUGAUGGGUGUCUUCCUCGAGUAGGCGUGAGCCUCUGCAUGCGGAUGUGUGUGUGGGUUCACA